RNAcentral lists this ribosomal RNA (492 nucleotides) under uncultured bacterium. Its description in RNAcentral is "partial 16S ribosomal RNA". It matches the Rfam family "Bacterial small subunit ribosomal RNA", at positions 29 to 507 of the family's 1533-position model. The record is from RNAcentral.
AGUGAACGCUGGCGGUAGGCCUAACACAUGCAAGUCGAACGGCAGCACAGUAAGAGCUUGCUCUUACGGGUGGCGAGUGGCGGACGGGUGAGGAAUACAUCGGAAUCUACUUUUUCGUGGGGGAUAACGUAGGGAAACUUACGCUAAUACCGCAUACGACCUACGGGUGAAAGCAGGGGAUCUUCGGACCUUGCGCGAUUGAAUGAGCCGAUGUCGGAUUAGCUAGUUGGCGGGGUAAAGGCCCACCAAGGCGACGAUCCGUAGCUGGUCUGAGAGGAUGAUCAGCCACACUGGAACUGAGACACGGUCCAGACUCCUACGGGAGGCAGCAGUGGGGAAUAUUGGACAAUGGGCGCAAGCCUGAUCCAGACAUACCGCGUGGGUGAAGAAGGCCUUCGGGUUGUAAAGCCCUUUUGUUGGGAAAGAAAAGCAGCAGGUUAAUACCCCGCUGUUCUGACGGUACCCAAAGAACAAGCACCGGCUAACUUCGUG